GGGUCAGUAGGUUGGUCGUGCCACCGGUACGUACUGGUCUCACUGAUUCCUCCUUCCUGAAGAACCGUAAUGCCAUUAAUUUGGUGUUGCGGGGAAACAGGACUGUUACUUUGAAAAAAUUAGAGUGCUUAAAGCAAGCUAACGCUUGAAUACAUUAGCAUGGAAUAAUGAAAUAGGACGAUCGAUCCUAUUUUGUUGGUUUCUAGGAUUGACGCA
RNAcentral lists this ribosomal RNA (216 nucleotides) under Glomeromycotina sp. Its description in RNAcentral is "partial small subunit ribosomal RNA". The stretch from base 44 to 216 matches the Rfam family "Eukaryotic small subunit ribosomal RNA", at positions 690 to 864 of the family's 1831-position model. Lineage: Eukaryota; Fungi; Glomeromycota. The record is from RNAcentral.